GUUUUACAGGGGCCUCUGAGGCCCUGCACUUUUACUGUGAAUAUUCCAUCUGAGGAAAAGUUUGAAUAAAAAACAAAUUUUCAUAGAUGUGAGGAAAUUGCAGUGUCAAAAUUAGUUGGUCAAAUAAUGGAAUUAUUUACACAAUAUCUAAGUUUGGUAGGUUUGCUUAGUGAUUUUUUUUUCUUUUUUACUUUCAAGUACCUAAAAAUAAGUGUCCAUAUUUUAAAAGGAAAGCCAUUUUAUUCAAAAACAAAAGGUGUUCCCUAACACGCCAUCACAGUGCAGAACUACGUGAAAAAGCCUCAAGCCAUCUUUAGCCCAGUACAGAAUAGGGAACACGGAGGUUUAAAAUAAAUGCCCUUUCCUCCCUGUUAGAUAGUACAAGUUAUUCAAUCAUGCAUUAAGGCCUUCUCAAACAACCUUUACAGGUCAUGCAAAAAUAUAUAUAUAUAUUUUGUUCGAAGUGAACUGUUAUUAAUGCCUCAAACUUUACUGAGGUAUCUGGCGUCGUAGGUACAAAUAUUCGUGGUUUACCGAUUUUAAACGUUCAGUCAAAUACGGACAGUGCUUUCGGGGCCAAUAUUUAAAGAAUAAGGCUAAUUCUUUUCGAGAGUCCCUCUAUCCCGCUUUUACAUGAAAAUAAGAAAUGCAUCAGGAUACUCGACGACGGGAACAGGAGUCAGAAAAACCAAGUGCACAGGGAAAGACAAGUAUUAGUGUACACGUCAAGUUGGAAUCAGCAGACAGUGUAGGGGAGAGAAACGUUCCACAGCUUGGGGAGCAGCUAGACCGGACUCCUUCCAGCGUUUCGCGACCAAAGUUUGCAGCUAGGUGAGCUGAAGCGGCUUUUGCCACGGCCGCGCGUCCGGGAGAGCUCGGGUUCACAGGUUCUGGGCGCGGCGGGAGCAGAAGUACAAGCACAGCCUGGAUCGGCUGCCGCGGCCCGUUCAUGCGCCUCACGGCAGGCUGGCCUCAGGCUGUCUAGGGGAUCCCAGAGGCUGUCAUUUUCCCUUUCUCCUGGCAGCUUCCGUCACCCUACACGAAGGGAGUGCUCAAAUUAAUUUUCUUUCCUGUUUUGAUUGAGAUUCGAAUAUCCUCUGUCCCGACCUUUCCAAGUCGCCCUCUCUGCCCUUCUGGCCAACGUUCCUGCCAGGAAAAGCCUUUAGUUGCGGCACCGUGAGUGUAGUCCUUCUAACGCGCUCCGGGGGUGUGCUGGCCGGUGCUCCGCCUCGGAGCCCGGAAGAACUCUUUCCCAUCAGGGCAUUCUGGUCCCCCCAUUUAGCAAAGAGAACUGUGGAAUGUGCGCCCGCAGCUGAGCCGCCUCCGGCAUCCCCCAACCGCCCGCUGCGGUGCCCGAGGCUCUCGGAUCUGCGCUCGCACGCCCCGCCUGCCUCCGGUGCCGCCCCUAUUCGGGCGACCGCCGGGACUCGGCCUCUGGCUGCCCAGACCAGCCGCCGGCCCGCAGUGCUCUUGAGAGCCGCGUCCGCUCGGGCCUCGGGAGCGCCGCCACUUCCCUCCCGGGCCAGACCCUGCUGGGCAUGCUCAGUGCGCCUCCUGGAACCCGGCUCUCGCGCAGCCAGGAUCGUGUCUCCGGGUUUUCGCGGCUGCCGAGGGGGCACUGGGGAAGGGAGGCUGGGAGACAGUCAGCGCCCUGUUCCUCUCCCGGCUGCGGCCGCCCGCACCGCAAGAUUCGGGCCAAUC
This is a long non-coding RNA of Bos taurus (domestic cattle), 1701 nucleotides long. NCBI's taxonomy places the organism in Eukaryota, Metazoa, Chordata, Mammalia, Artiodactyla, Bovidae. The record is from Ensembl.